Molecule: ribosomal RNA, 253 nt
Filed under: uncultured bacterium
Lineage: Bacteria
Description: partial 16S ribosomal RNA
Rfam family: Bacterial small subunit ribosomal RNA
Source: RNAcentral
UACGUAGGAGGCGAGCGUUGUCCGGAAUUAUUGGGCGUAAAGAGCUCGUAGGCGGUCUGUCGCGUCGGAUGUGAAAAUCCAGGGCUCAACCCUGGACCUGCAUUCGAUACGGGCAGACUAGAGUUCGGCAGGGGAGACUGGAAUUCCUGGUGUAGCGGUGAAAUGCGCAGAUAUCAGGAGGAACACCGGUGGCGAAGGCGGGUCUCUGGGCCGAUACUGACGCUGAGGAGCGAAAGCGUGGGGAGCGAACAGG